GAUUAAAAGUUUCAUCCAUUUUCACUGGUUAAAAACUGGUAUGAUUGAUGAAAUAACUAGACAGUUACACAUGACAUGUCACGUGUACCUCAUGAUGACGUAUAAGAACUAGUUUUUAACAUUAAAAAUUGAUGGAAUUUUUAACA
Non-coding RNA from Gossypium hirsutum (cotton), 146 nucleotides. Lineage: Eukaryota; Viridiplantae; Streptophyta; Magnoliopsida; Malvales; Malvaceae. The record is from Rfam.